CGGUAAUACGUAGGGGGCAAGCGUUGUCCGGAUUUACUGGGUGUAAAGGGCGCGCAGGUGGGUUGACAAGUCAGAGGUGAAAUCCUACAGCUUAACUGUAGAACUGCCUUUGAGACUGUCAAUCUUGAGUACGGAAGAGAGAGAUGGAAUUCCAGGUGUAGUGGUGAAAUACGUAGAUAUCUGGAAGAACACCAGUGGCGAAGGCGGUCUCUUGGUCCAAUACUGACACUAAGGCGCGAAAGUGUGGGGAGCGAACAGGAUUAGAUACCCUGGUAGUCCACACCGUAAACGUUGGGCGCUAGGUGUGGGAUCCAUUCCACGGGUUCCGUGCCGCAGCUAACGCAUUAAGCGCCCCGCCUGGGGAGUACGGCCGCAAGGCUAAA
This 383-nucleotide ribosomal RNA is filed under the name uncultured bacterium. Its description in RNAcentral is "bacterial SSU rRNA". It matches the Rfam family "Bacterial small subunit ribosomal RNA", at positions 518 to 898 of the family's 1533-position model. The record is from RNAcentral.